This is a long non-coding RNA of Eurytemora carolleeae, 247 nucleotides long. RefSeq lists it as uncharacterized. The transcript has 3 exons. The record is from RefSeq and is a predicted model, not a curated record. Lineage: Eukaryota; Metazoa; Arthropoda; Copepoda; Calanoida; Temoridae.
GUUUUCUCUUCUGUUAACGGAGGAGCCUCCCUUUACUCUCCCAACAUUCACCAGAACCCAGUAGUUCCAUAUUAGUACACGUAGUAACAGAAUGACUGCAUUUACUGAAGCAGACCGUAGAAAAAUUCUAGAAUCCCUCACUCAGGAUGAGCUGGAAACUUUCAAAGAGGCUUUCACAGUCUUUGAUAAGAAUAGGGAUGGGACUAUCACCACAAAGGUAACAGAAGAGAAUAGAUACUUGAGGUUG